This 253-nucleotide ribosomal RNA is filed under the name uncultured bacterium. RNAcentral describes it as "partial 16S ribosomal RNA". It matches the Rfam family "Bacterial small subunit ribosomal RNA", at positions 524 to 776 of the family's 1533-position model. The record is from RNAcentral.
UACGAAGGGGGCUAGCGUUGCUCGGAAUUACUGGGCGUAAAGCGUGCGCAGGCGGCUUCUCAAGUCAGGGGUGAAAGCCCAGAGCUCAACUCUGGAAUUGCCUUUGAGACUGAGUGGCUUGAGUACGGGAGAGGUGAGUGGAAUUCCCAGUGUAGAGGUGAAAUUCGUAGAUAUUGGGAAGAACACCGGUGGCGAAGGCGGCUCACUGGCCCGUAACUGACGCUCAUGCACGACAGCGUGGGGAUCAAACAGG